RNAcentral lists this ribosomal RNA (232 nucleotides) under uncultured bacterium. RNAcentral describes it as "partial 16S ribosomal RNA". It matches the Rfam family "Bacterial small subunit ribosomal RNA", at positions 109 to 334 of the family's 1533-position model. The record is from RNAcentral.
AGUAAUACAUAAGUAACCUGCCCUAGACAGGGGGAUAACUAUUGGAAACGAUAGCUAAGACCGCAUAGGUACGGACACUGCAUGGUGACCGUAUUAAAAGUGCCUCAAGGCACUGGUAGAGGAUGGACUUAUGGCGCAUUAGCUGGUUGGCGGGGUAACGGCCCACCAAGGCGACGAUGCGUAGCCGACCUGAGAGGGUGACCGGCCACACUGGGACUGAGACACGGCCCAG